UGGGGAAUAUUGCACAAUGGGCGCAAGCCUGAUGCAGCCAUGCCGCGUGUGUGAAGAAGGCCUUCGGGUUGUAAAGCACUUUCAGCGAGGAGGAAGGUGGUGAGCUUAAUACGCUCAUCAAUUGACGUUACUCGCAGAAGAAGCACCGGCUAACUCCGUGCCAGCAGCCGCGGUAAUACGGAGGGUGCAAGCGUUAAUCGGAAUUACUGGGCGUAAAGCGCACGCAGGCGGUUUGUUAAGUCAGAUGUGAAAUCCCCGGGCUCAACCUGGGAACUGCAUUUGAAACUGGCAAGCUAGAGUCUCGUAGAGGGGGGUAGAAUUCCAGGUGUAGCGGUGAAAUGCGUAGAGAUCUGGAGGAAUACCGGUGGCGAAGGCGGCCCCCCUGGANGAAGACUGACGCUCAGGUGCGAAA
Molecule: ribosomal RNA, 412 nt
Filed under: uncultured bacterium
Lineage: Bacteria
Description: partial 16S ribosomal RNA
Rfam family: Bacterial small subunit ribosomal RNA
Source: RNAcentral